AAACCUUUUUAAAUUAGUCCAGUGAGGCUAGUAAGGGGAGUGGAGAUUUAGUUAUAAAUUUCUUAUUAGUUAUAACUAAAGUUUAUUUAGAUUAUCCAGCCUUCUUACUAGUAAGAAGGCUUUUAUAGU
Molecule: regulatory RNA element, 129 nt
Organism: Orenia sp.
Lineage: Bacteria; Bacillati; Bacillota; Clostridia; Halanaerobiales; Halobacteroidaceae
Rfam family: PyrR binding site
About the family: This family represents the PyrR binding site and terminator structure. This RNA structure is found upstream of a variety of genes involved in pyrimidine biosynthesis and transport.
Source: Rfam